RNAcentral lists this long non-coding RNA (20476 nucleotides) under Citrus maxima (pomelo). Its description in RNAcentral is "long non-coding RNA (CMAX_LNC003310)". The record is from RNAcentral. Lineage: Eukaryota; Viridiplantae; Streptophyta; Magnoliopsida; Sapindales; Rutaceae.
UAAAUAUGCUAACAAAAGCAAAACAUACAUAUAAUCCCUCUCAUGAACACCGCACUAAUUAACUAAAGUUGUGUGAUAAACGAAACAAACUUAUUGAUCAGCUCUACAGCUUUUUCACAUUUAAGAUUGUCGAAAUAGAAGCUAUGCCCUUCGCCGUGAGUCUCAAAAAGCUCCACCGUUCCUUUCCACCCACUUUUCUUCAAGUCUUCGUAGUAAUUCAUAGCCACAGGUUUCAAAAAAUCUUUCUCGGCCACAAAUAUCAAAACCCUCUCACACCCAAGCCUGGCCAGAUCCUCUGCGGGCAUUUCAGCCGAGGAUCCUGCAACUCCCCGUUUGUUGGACACAUGUACAACCUCAUCUCAUCUUCUUCAGGACUAGUGCCACCGAAAAAUGGAUGCACCAUAAUAACCCAAACCAACUUUACACGGGGUAACCCGAUUGACCCGACCGGAAACGCCAGAGUGUGUGCAAUAUUCCCUCCAGCACUGCCUCCUCCAAUGAAAACUCUCCUAAAAUCAGUGUGAUCAUUCAACCAGGGCUCGGGUCCAUUUCCACCAGCAUGGGACGCCACCCAGUUGAGUGUAGCCCACGAGUCUUCGUAACAAGCGAGUAUGGGUCGAUCCGGGAAGAGCUUGUAUUCCACGGACACCACUAUAGCGUUAGCUUGUGCAGAAACGACACUACAGAAAUUAUGAUACAGCGGACCAAAGGCGGACCGCCUGCAGAAUCCGCCGCCAUGCAAGUAGAAUAAGAGAGGGAGGCACAAUUGUACUUUUUUUUUUUUUAAUUUGGGAAGGAAAUUUCUGUUGAACAUGUGAAAAGUGAAAACAAUGGGAGACACAAUUGUACUUUUUUAGACAAAAUCUCAUGGUAAGCCACACACCCGUAGUAAAAUACUAUGUAAUGAAAAAAAAAAUGAAUUUAAAUACUUUAUAUAAGUUGCAAACUGGAAUCAGAUAUUGGAAUUUAUAUUUCCGGAUUUCGAUUGAACGACUCUCUAUAACUCUUCAAUUAUUGAAAUGUUAAUCAGUUAAUUAUGUUCUGUCAAUACCAAUUCAAUCACAAGUAUGGCGACAUGAAAAAUAAUAAAACAAUCACAAUUGACAAUUAGUAUUUGCUUUCAAUACUAUUUCUGGGGGAACCAUUAUUUUGCUUGAUGAAGGAGAUGAAUUUAUUGGUCAACUCCAAAGCAUUUGUACAUGUAGGGUUUCUCAAAUAAAAGACAUGCUUCUCAUCGAGAUGCUCAACGAGCUCCACUCUCCCUUUCCAUCCACUUUUCUUCAACUCCUCGUAGUAAUUUUUCCCAGCGGGACACAAGUAGUCUCUCUCAGCCACAAAUAUCAAAACCCUCUCACACCCAAGCCUAGCCAGAUCCUCUGCGGGCGGUUUCAUCCUAGGAUCCUGCGGCCCAUCAUUACUUGCACACAUGUACAACCACAUCUCAUCGUCCUCCGUACCGCCAAAAAAUGGGUGUACCAUCGUCACCCCAACCAAGUUCACACCGGGUAGCCCGAUUGAUCCGACCCGGAACGCCAGAGUGUGUGCGAUGUUCCCUCCUGCACUGUCCCCACCAAUGAAAACUCUCCCAAGAUCAGCAUGAUGAUUCAACCAUGGGUCAGGUCGGUUUCCGCUAACAUGGGAGGCCACCCACUUGAGUGCAGCCCACGAGUCUUCGUAACAAGCGGGUAUGGGUCGAUCCGGGAAGAGUCCGUACUCCACGGAUACGACUAUGGCAUUCGCUUGAGAAGAAACGGUGUUACAGAAAUCAUGAUAGGGCUUCGCAAAGGCGGAUAACGUGCAGAAUCCACCGCCAUGCAUGUAGAGUAAGAGAGGGAACUUUUGUUUAUCAGAGUUUGUUACUUUAGGAAUGAAAAUACGGGCGGAUACCGUUGGUUGAGAUGAAAUAACAACAUCUUUGGAUCGGACGCAGCUGAUGGGGUCGGAAGAACUCGAGGCAGCCGUCAUUGUAAACCCGGAAAAAUGGGAACUCUUUGAUAAUUUCUUUAGGGCUUGAACUUGAUGCCGUUAAAGAAUACUGAGUAAAACAAUAAGUAAAAAUAAUAAAGAAAAGAAAAAGGAGUGGUCCCGCGCACUAUUUUGAAACUGGCAUAACGUUUUAUAAUUGGAAAAUGUUAAAUAUGAAGAAGAAUGAGAGAAAACUGAGAAAAUGAAGUAUGUGCUGAGAGAAGAGAGAGAGAGAAAAAGCCGACAGAAGAGAGAGAGAUGAAAUAAAAAAACAGCCAGUAGUUUCUCUUAGUAAGAGAGAGAGUAUGCAUGCAGCUUUCUUCUGAGGUAGAGUAGAGGAUGGCAAACUUGUUUCCCAGGGACUAAACUCUGCUUGUAAUUCGAAGCUUUCAAUCUUUUAUAAUUCACAAUUGCUGUGAAAUGGAUCAGUCACAAACGGCAGCAAUGAAUGACGAAUUCCAUCAAAUAAUGUUCUUACUAAGUUGUGUGUUGUGUUUGUAGAGUUUAAUUGAGGUACAGACAUACUCUAAUAAUAUGCCAUUUUUGUGCAUAUUUAUUUAGUUUGGUAUCAUCACUUGUUUUCACAUUUGUUCGUAUUGUAUAAUCAUACUGUAUUUUAUUAACAAGUUGUUUCUUUCAUAAAUUAAAAUGCCUUAUAAACAUAUUCAUAGUUCCUCUUUACAUUUUAUUUUAGGUUUGUUUUCUUUUUUAACACCAGUUUUCUUUUAAGUCAAUAGCAACUCAAUUUUCUCUCUAUUUAUGUGAGCGGAGUUUGAACUCUAAAUAUUUUAUUUUUAAUACGAGAGAUUUUAUUAAUAACCUUAACAUAUGCAUUACAUCAAGUUCAAGCCUACGAGUAAAUCCUUCCUGUUGCAGUGCCCGUAACAGGAAGGAUUUUAUUAAUAACCUUAACCCAAAAUAUACUAACAAAAGCAAAACAUACAUAUAAUCCCUCUCAUGAACACCGCACUAAUUAACUAAAGUUGUGUGACAAACGAAACAAACUUAUUGAUCAGCUCUACAGCUUUUUCACAUUUAAGAUUGUCGAAAUAGAAGCUAUGCCCUUCGCCGUGAGUCUCAAAAAGCUCCACCGUUCCUUUCCACCCACUUUUCUUCAAGUCUUCGUAGUAAUUCAUAGCCACAGGUUUCAAAAAAUCUUUCUCAGCCACAAAUAUCAAAACCCUCUCACACCCAAGCCUAGCCAGAUCCUCUGCGGGCGGUUUCAGCCGAGGAUCCUGAAACCCUGCGUUUGUUGGACACAUGUACAACCAGGUCGCAUCUUCUUCAGGACUAGUGCCACCGAAAAAUGGAUGCACCAUGAUCACCCCAACCAAUUUUACACAAGGUAACCCGAUUGUCCCGACCCGAAACGCCAGUGUGUGUGCAAUAUUCCCUCCAGCGCUGGCUCCUCCAAUCAAAACUUUCCCAAAAUCAGCGUGAUCAUUCAACCAUGGCUCGGGUCCAUUUCCGCUGACAUGGGACGCCACCCAGUUGAGUGCAGCCCACGAGUCUUCGUAACAAGCGGGUAUGGGUCGAUCCGGGAAAUUCCCAUAUUCCACGGACACCACUAUAGCAUUAGCUUGUGCAGAAAAGACGCUACAGAAAUUAUGAUACCGCGGACCAAAGGCGGACUGCCUGCAGAAUCCGCCGCCACGCAAGUAGAAUAAGAGAGGGAGCUUAUUCUGGUUAGGGUUUUGGGCUUCAUACGGAAUGAAGAUACGAGCAGACACGGGUGGUUCGGACGAAAUAACAACGUCUUUGGAUCGGACGCCGGUGGUGGAGUCAUCGGAGGGUUGGAUUUUUUCGCAGUCGGGUUCGAAUAACUCAACCCGGCCGUCUUUGUAAACCCGGAAGAAUCGGAAUUCUUUUGCAAUUUCCGAGUCGCUUGAUGCCAUGUUUUUAAUUUGAAGCUUCGGUUUGAAAUAUAAUAAUAAAAGAGAAGAAGGGUUCUUUGUGUUUGUGCUGUUUGGUGAAAGAGGGAGAGCCAUCAAACGCUUUAUAAUAUGGGAACGUACGUAGCUACCUAACUUUCAAAGCAUCUUCUCGCCCUACGUGGCUACCUAACUUUCACAGCAUCUUCUCGCUCAUAAGUAUCUGUUUCUUUGACAGUUAUUUUUUCUUUCUUUCAUACCUUUUUCUUAUCAGUAAAUAGUUACGAUGCACGAAUUGACGUUGAUAUUCCUUUUUUUCACACCUUUUUCUUGUCAGUAAAUAUUUACGAUACGCGAAUUGACGUUGAUAUUCCUUUUUUUCAUACCUUUUUCUUAUCAGUAAAUACUUACGAUGCACGAAUUGACGUUGAUAUUCCUUUUUUUCAUUCCUUUUUCUUGUCAGUAAAUAUUUACGAUACACGAAUUGACGUUGAUAUUCCAAUUAUAGAUACGGCCAUACGGGUCCGCCUAAGUUACAGUUAAUCUAAUUUACAGCUGCCCUGUAAAUGAUGUUAUGAUAUAUAUAUUUUUAUUUUGAAAAACUAACAUGUAAAUGGUAAUUAUAUUAAAUUUAAUUAUACAUAUUAUACAUGUAUUAGUUGAUUGUAUUAUCUCUAAUAUAUUCUAGAAUUCUUCCCAACAUUAAUAAGAUUAUUCGAAGGAUUAAUGAAUUAGAAGGAUUAGAAUUUAGUAUUCGACUGCGUUUUUAUUUGAACACUGAAUUAAUAGUUAGGAUUAUUUUUAUUUUUUUCUCUUGUCUAACGGUUUUUACUCUCUUAUUUCUUUUUUCAAUUUGUCUUUAUUUUAUUGGGGUUAGAAACUCAUUCUUUUUUAUUUUUCACACACUAAAAUCACCGGCAGUGGAUCCACCUCAUAACCAGUGGUGGUUUAAACCCCCACUAGAGAAAAUAAUUUCAAAAAAUUAAAAAAAUUACUUGAGUUACUAAUUAUCCCUGUUAAAUUUAUAAAAGUAGCCCCAUAAACUUAUAAGCCCAUAUAAUUUAAGGAUAAAGAUCAUUUCAUGGUAUGAACAUAUUUGAACAUUGAAGAAUCUUUUAACAUUUAUACAUUGUUAUUUGAGUGAUGAUACAGUCACAAACUCUUGUACAAAUUUAUCUUAUACAAACUGAUUUGUCAUUAAUUAAUUAGUUAAAUGAAAAUACAAAAUAAUAAAAAUAGAACAUGUGGGUCAAGAGAUAUUUAAUUCAACCAAUUUUAUCAUGUCACAUCAGUUUGUACAAAAUAAAUUUGUACAAGAGUUUGUCGCUAUAUUAUUAUUCUUUAUUGUUAAAAAAAAUCAUAUUUUUAAAAAUAAUUUUUUCUUUACUUUUCAAAAUUUAUUGUAGGAUAAAGUAAUUUUACCAAAAGAGAUUUUUAAACAAAAUUCACUAAACAGAAAAUAAUUUUAAUUUUUUAAAAUUACUUUUAAGUUUUAAAAGCAUUCUGAAAUGUUAAAUUGAGACCUUAGGCAUAAAACCAAGAAAAAAAAAAACUCUUACGAAAGGCUGACGAACAAAAUAUUUUAACUUUAAAUGAGUAGAAAACAUAAGAAAAGGUAAACAUGUAUCACGGGUGCUAUACGACAGCUCUUUCUACCAAGGCUGUAUCGGGUAAAAUGACCCUACUUCUUUUAAUUAUUAUUUAAUAUUUUUAAUAAUAAAGAAAAAGACAUCAUAAAUAAGGGUCCAGCUAUAGUACUACAAUAAUAUCAUACCACAGCUGAAUUCAUAAUAGUAUUACAUUAUGUGCUGAAUCCAAUGACUGAAUGGUAUGGUAGCCAUAAUUUUGCCCCAAAAAUAAUUGUUGGCCCCGCCAAUUACUUCUUUACAAGACGACAAGAAGACUUGUCUCUAUCAAAGCAAUACUCCUUUUAUUAUUUAAUAUUUUAAUAAUAAAAGUUUAUAAUUAAUUUAGAACUGAUCUAAAAUACAUUACAAUUUUAAUCAUAUAAUUAUAAAAGAAUGUUAUCCAACAUCACUAGAUCCCAUUAAUAAUUAUUGGCCUAACACUAUAAAAGCCAAUUGCUUUUUUGAGGAAAUCGAUUAUCAAACACUCAGUUUGUACGGAGCUCCUCAUGGGUCCGCCUGAGUUACAUUUAAUGUAACUUACCGGCAGCUUGUGAAAUUUUAUCUAACCCCCUAUACUCUAUUAUAAUUUUAUUUUAUUCAUAAAUAUUAUAAACUUUUUGAAUUAUAAAUUUUUGUUUAACUCUUUAUACUCAAUUUUAUUUUAUUAAAAUCUUAGAGUAUGAAUUCGCCCCCAUAAUUUUAAAUUCUCAAAAUAACCUCCAUUUAAUUAAAAAAUAUAAUAAUUAUUAAAUGAAUUAUAAUAAUUAUUAUUAUUUUAUUAUAAUCAUAAAUAUAAUUAUAUUUUUAAAAUGGAUUAUUGUUAUUAUUAAUAACAAUAAUAAAAAGCAUUAUAAUUAAUUAAUCUAUUAACAAUAAUUAAUGAUAAUUAUUAUUAAUAAUUAAUUUUUGAAUACUAAUAACAAUAAUAAUAAUAAUUAAAAUAAAAAUUAAUACUUAUGAUAAAAAUUAAUUAAAGAUUUUAUGACAAUUGGUUUACAAUUUAAUUUAUUCUGAUUUUGACUCUAAAAAAAAUAAACAAAUAAAUGGUAAUACAACUCAUUCUAAUUACGAUUUCUUCAACUUAAGUAAAUAAAUUAUAAUGUUAUUCUGUUUAUUUAUUUAUUUUUCUCUGAAGUGUUUUCUAGAGAGAGAGAGAGAGAGUGUGUGUGUGUGUAGAUUUUUUUAACUUUUGAAAAUAGUCACAUUUUGUAAAAUCUUAUGAUAGGAUAAGAUGUAGAUCAAUUUUAACUCGAUGAAAAUAUAUUGUCUGUUAGAAAAAAAUAAAUUAAAAAUAAAUAUUGGAGAAAAUAUAUUAUUAAGUGAAUAAUAAUAAUAAUAAUUUUAAUUUUAAUUUAUUUACUUAAACUGAAGAAAUCGUAAUUAGAAUGAGCUGUAUUACAAUUUAUGUGUUUAUUUUGUCUUAGAAUCAAAAUCAGAAUGAGUUAAAUUGUAACCAAUUACUAUAAAAUCAUUAAUUAAUUUUUAUCAUAAUUAUUAUUUUGUAUUUUAAUUAUUGCUAUUGUUAUUAUUAUUCAAAAAUUAAUUAUUAAUAAUAAUUAUCAUUAAUUAUUAUUAUUAUUAUUAAUUUAAUAAAAAAUAUUAUUAAUUAAUGUCAAUAGGUUAACUAAUUAUAAUUCUUUUUAUUAUUGUUAUUAAUAAUAAUAAUAAUCUAUUUUAAAAAUAUAAUUAUAUUUAUGAUUAUAAUAAAAUAAUAAUUAUAAUAUAAUUCAUUUAACAAUAAAUAUAUUUUUUAAUUAAAUAUAGGUUACUUUGAGAAUUUAAAAUUAUGGGGGCGAAUUCAUACUCUAGGGUUUUAAUAAAAUAAAAUUGAGUAUAACGUGUUAAAUGAAAGUUUAUAAUUCAAAAAGUUUAUAAUAUUUAUUAAUAAAAUAUAAAUAACAUAAAGUAUAGGGAGUUAGCUAACAUUUCACAGACCCACUGGAAGUUACAUUAAAUGUUACAUUUUACGAACAAAAUUUUUUAAAUUUUAAAUGAGUAGAAAACAGAAGAAAAGGUAAACGUGCAUCACGUGUGCUGUACGGCAGCUCUUUCUACCACGGCUUUAUUGUACCUCUUCUGAUUAUUAUUUAAUAUUUUUAAUAAUAAAGAAGACUUGUCUCUAUCAAGGCAAUGCUCUUUUUAUUAUUUAAUAUUUUAAUAACAAAAGGCCAUGAUCAUUUUGGAACUGAUCUAAAAUAUAUUAUAAUUUUUAUUAUGUAAUUAUGGAAGAAUAUUUUCAACAUCACUGGACUCCACAAAUAAUAAUUGGCUUAAGACUAUAAAAGCCAAUUAGUUUUUCAGGCUAUAGAUUGCUCACUCAAUACUCAUGAUGCCAAUGCAUUAUUGCUUGUCAUUCUAGGCUUGUUUGUGUCUUUGGAAAAUUUUCAUUCCAGCCUGUCCACCCACUAGGUUGCCAUGAAGUAAUAAUAAAUAUAAUAAGUUAUUAUUAAAAAACAAAAAAAUCAGUUUGUACGGAGCUUCUCACAUAAUGCUCUUUACUUCUCAGCUUCCUCUGCGGAUCACAUCGUAGGCCACCCACCCUACCAACCUAUCGAGAGUCGAGACCUGUGCUUUUAGUUUUGUUUCCCAUGACCUCAACAAGGAGAAUCGCCUCUGUCAACUACUAGGUAAUUUUAUCAGUAUUUAAGUCUUGGGUUUAAAAAAUUAAAAAAUAAAAAAAUUAAAAAAAAAAGAUAAAUAAUUUUAAAUUUCAUAAGCAAUGGGCCCACUAUUUAAAUUAUUAUUAUUAGCAGCAGCAGCAACUCUGUAAGGGUAAAGCUACUGAUCUGAGUUUCAUUUUGGAUUCAUCGAGCUCAAUUUUCUGAAUUUUGUUAGCUAAAAUUUUCAAAUUCUCUGAAUUCCCUUGUGAAGCAACCAAGUUCGCUUGGCCAGCAGCCUCUUGAAGCAGCACGCCGUAAUCAAGCUUUCAAAUUUGCUUCAACUUUCACAACUAUCCUUUGUCCUUUCAUUUUUUUUUUAAUCUAUUUUAAAAAGAGAUUAUUAGUUUUCCACCUUUGAAAUCGAUAUAUACUACUUAUCCUCUAUUGUUUUUAUAAUAUCUAAUAAAUAUUUGAUACUAAAUUUUUUUUUUAAAAAAGAAGACAUAAUAUCCAAUAAUCUCAUGACACUAAAAAUUUAAAAGAAAAGAGAGGAAUAAAUAAGUUAUUUAUUUGAUAUUUGAUCUUAGAAAUAAAAAAAAUACAUUUAUUAAAAUAAUUUUUUUUCAAAUUAACAAAAAGCACAACAAAAUUAUCUCAAAAAGCACAACAAAAUUAUCUUACUAUUAAUUUUUUAUUUACCUAAGAUUUAUAUUUCUUAUUUUUAGUAUUUAUUUUUUAUUUUAAAUUUAAUCAUACAAAUUAUUUAAUUUAUAAUAAAUAUAAAUAUAAAUAUCUUCAAAAAUAAUGGCAAUAAUAUAAAGGGAGAAUGCUAAGGUACAGUCUGUGUACCUUACAGCACCCUCACAAAAUGAUCGUGGGCUCCACGUCGGCUCACUUUUCAUUUUACUGUGCAAGCGUGGCUGUAAGGUGCAGAACCUGUAAGUUAGCCUCCCUCCAACAUAAAGUAGUGGUGCUAGGAAUUAUUGAAUAUUACAAUAAUAAUAACAAAAAUAAAUAAUAUACACUGAUUUUAAGUGGAGUGGAGGAAAUUUACCGUCACCCUUUUCAAUUAACAUUACAUCUGGGAUUAUUUUUUGUCACCCCAUAAGAAUCGAUAAAUAUUACCAAGUAUCCUAAUUUUUCGACAACUAUUACUGCACACCGAUUCUGUUAAAAAUUACCAUUAACCUUAGUGAUUUUAUCAGAUAUAUAUUGAAACCACCAUAAUACCUCCACAUAAAUUGAAUUGACUAUAAAUACUGAAAUUAUAAGAAUAUAUUAAUUGGCAGUUGACACUUUAUUUUCUUCAAAAAAAAUAAUUAUAGAAUGUGUAAAAAUAAUGUUAAUUGUAAACUGAAAUAAUUAAAAUUAAAUUAAAGUUUAUUUUUUUGAAGAAAUUAUAUUAAAACCCAGGAGACAUCUCCAACGCCAAGCUUCAGCAUCAUGGCAUUUCCCAGUAUUUAUAGCGAUAACCAAAUAUAUGCUUUGAAAGCAACAAAAACAACAACAUAAACUUCCAAUUUCAUAGCACAAUCAAAAUAAUUUAUUAUAUCAAACAAAUUGUCAAUUACCUAAACCUAAAAAUUAAUAAACAAUAGCAUGGAAAACCCUAAAAUUUUAAAAUUGGGAUUUUAUAGUUGUUAGUCACCAUUGUUGGUGCCGCAUCUGUCAGGGUAGUGCAAUUGGUUAUGUGACUCUUGUGACGUCGAUGGAAGGAAAAAGUGAAAACCCUUGUUGUGGAGCAUGAAUGGAGAAGAGAAGAAAAUGAGCAUUUGUUGCCGAGUAUAAACGGGGGAGAGAAGAUGGAGCGUGAAUGGAGUCAUGGAGAAGGAAGAGAAAAAAUAAUUUUUUCCCUUUUUUCUUUAUUCAUCCGUUUAACUUUACUAUUCUACCAUUAUAGCAGUUAAGUUAAUGGUGAUCGCUAAUGGAAUAAGUGCGCAGCCAUAGUUAUUGAAAGAUUAAAGUGUACAGUAAUAUUUGUCGAUUCUUAAGUUGAUUCUUAGGGGGGGAUGGCGAAAAAUAACCCUCACACUUGGCUCGUUGGUAACCAAAAUGAUUUGACAUUUUCCACAACACAUCAAAUCAAACUUUUCUGGCGUGAUGUCGCACAGAUGAUGCGGUCCUCCUUGUAAGAGCCUCUUACUAGAACUAAUAAUAUUUGCCUUGCCAUCUACUCCUUAAAAGUAUACAAAAUAUUUUCUAGGGAAAAACCUGAUUCAUCCUCGUAUAUGCAUAAUGUUAGGUUUAAAAUUAAAUAGAAGCACUCGAGAAAAAUUAUUUAAAGCUAGCAUAUACCAAAAUGAAGAAUAUAAUUUUGAACCAACCUUUUUUUUUAUUUAAAGCUAGCAGAGGGAAAUUUUUAAAUUGGGAAAAAUAAAAUUUUUAGAUGAAAUUAAAAAAUGAUUCUCUAGAAAAGCUAGGACCUGCUUGGUUCCAAUUGUAAUUGCCUUUCCUUCUUCUUAGUUUUUAGAAUAUAAACUAUUUUUUUUAAAGAGACUCACACUAUCAUGGAUUUACUGGGCGCUCAUCCAUUGCUAUUAUCUUUUUCCCACUUUUCAUCUUUCUUCUUCCAUCAACAGUAAAUAUUUAUUAAUUUAAAUAAAUUAAAUCCAAUGUUUAUUUAACUGUGUUGCGCCUUUUGUAAUUUUCUACGCAUCUAUAUUUAUACAUAAAGAGAUAAAUUAAAUAACUGAUCACCAACUCCAAAUCUUAUCACACCUAUAUAUAUUUAUAAAAUUUUUCUAUGAUGCCGUAUAAAUUUUUAUGGUAUUGAUAAUAGGGUCACUUAUGGGCCCUUGAAUCUAGAUGUUUUAAUUUUCACCAUUUAUUUAAUUUAGUAAAUGAAUAACUAAUUACUUAAUAAUGAAUGGAUAAUAUUUGUGUUUAUGGAUAUAAGUUUAUAUUUUUUAUAAUUUGAUAAAUAUUUUCUAAUCGCCAACAAAAUUAAAUAUUCAAUAUGCAGAUAUACAAAUUAAUUUAUAUGUUUAAACAACGAAUAUGAAUUAUUUAAUAUUCAACAAUACAUGUUAAUUCAAAUCCUUUUUAUAAUUUAUAAUUAUAAAAAAUAUAAUUUUGAAUUCUUAGUUCUAUUUGUUGUCUAUUUUCCUUUUAAAUUGCUCAUUGUCUAAGAUUGAGUUAAUUAAUUGUUGUAAUAUUUAUUAAUCUAGCAACUUUUUUUUUUUGUUGUUGCUGAAGAAGAGAUAAUAAUAAUAGAAUAAAUUAAGAUUGAGUUGUGUUAAUAUUAAAAUACAUAAAAGGAAAUAUAGAAGUUUCAAUAAACUAUAGUUGUUUCUUUUUCAUUAAUCUUUAAAAAAUCUUUUAAAUAAUUGAAAUUAAAUAUUGUCCUAACUAAGUGGCCGUUCAUUUUUUUGACAUAAUGACUUAAUUGAUUUAAUUUUAAUCAGUUAGGUAAUUAAAUCUGUUUAUUUUUACAACUUAAUGAACAAUUUCAGCUAUUAAAUCAUUAAGUUAUUAACUAAUUUUUUUAGCCUUUUACUUAAUAUAAAAAGUCUAAAUGAUAUCAUUAAAAAAUAUUCUCUAAAAUAUCUCUAUCUUAUUAAUUAAUUUUCAUCCUUACCUAAAUAAAAUUUAAUAAUUAACAUUAUUACACAUCUUUUUAUAACUUGUGAUGAUUUAUGGUGGUACACUAUUAUUAUGUUUUAUCUUUUUAUUUUCUUCAAAUUAGCAUUAUUUAUUUUCAUAAUUGUUUUAUGAAAUUUUUCAUAUAAAAACAUCAAAACUAUAAUAAAAUCGAUUAACAUAUAUAAUAUAGAAUAUUAAAGAGUUUUAUUCAAUUGAAUAUGAUUCAGAUUAUGAUAAUUUAUUAUCUUAGUUAUAUUCUUUGAGAUGUUUAUUUUUUAACAUUUAUAAUUUAUAAGGGUAUAAAUGUAAAAAUAUUGAUUUUUAGAUUUUUAAGUUGAAAAAAUAAAAAAACUAAAUAUUUAUUUUCAGCGAUUCAGAUAAAAAAAUAAAUAUAUCAUUUAAAUUUAGACAUUCGGCUCUAUUCAUAAUUUAGAUUAAUUAAGGUCUAUUCAGAUUUCAGACAAAAAACAAGUGCCACCUAACUUUUAACUUUGUGAAUGGUAUAUUUAUUCAUACUACAAUUUUUAUAAGUGUAUCAUAGAGUGACCCACAUAACACAAACACACUCUACAUAUAUAUAGGACAUUGUUUGGUUGGCUACACGUGGUGUGCUCCAUCAUGUGUAGCUAGUUUUGCCCUUUGGAUUUACAUCCAAAUCCACUAGUGGCAGAUCUACUAGUGGCCGAUACUGGGCUACAAACAAAAAAUGAAAAUUCAAGUAUGCUAACUAAAUUUACGAAUAUGCCAUCACUGAUUGAUUAAAAGAGUACCAUUCAAUUUUUUUUAAAAAAAUUACUUAAUUCACUUUUUCUUUGCUUUUAUUGACAAUAAUACUAAAAGCCAAGAGUGAAAAAGAAUUGGUGGUUCCCUUCACGAUUUUUCAUCUUCUUCAUCUUUCAAUUUCUUUACCUUUAUAUCUUUUCCUAUCGAUACACUUUCAGUGUUCCUUCUAGUUUCUAUAGACACAAUAGGGUGUGUAUUUUUAGCCAUGAGCCUUAUCAAGAUAUCACUUUACAAGAAUACGGAAAAUGAGUUUCUUUUAAGUUGUAUAAUUAUUUAUGCUGAAAGAGAAAUUAUAUAUACUAUUGAUUCAGAUUCCAUAAUUAAUGAGUUUUGAAAAGUACAAGCCUUAGUAGUAUUUUUCUUUUGAAUUACAUUUUUAUUUUCUACUUUUUUAUAUAAUUAUUUUAUUUAAAGUAAAUAUUACCUGGGAUAAGGCUUCUAAUAUCCCUGUAUUUUAUACUUAUAUACUUAAGAAAUUUUAAGUGCGCUUCACAACAUUAUUUUUUUAAAAAUACAACAUCUUCCUUUCUCUCUUUACUACCAUAUAGGUCACAGUACAAAGGCCUCCCUAUAUUAUUAUUAUCUUUUUUCAGCUCAAUUUAAUAUUUCCUAUGGAUUCCUCAAACUCAAAGCCAGCAGCUGAAGUAGCCUAGGACGUGUCUCCCAUGUUUAAAAUAUACGAAGACGGCAGAGUAGAGAGGCUUAUAGGCAACAAGAUAGUUCCCCCAUCCUUUGAUCCAAAAACAAGCGUUGAUUCCAAAGACGUUGUGUAUUCACCUGAAAAUAAUCUAUCCGCCCGGCUUUACAUCCCCAAAAACACAAACAAUCCAAACCAUAAACUCCCUCUAGUGGUUUAUAUCUAUGGCGGAGGCUUUUGCAUCUAUUCUGCCUUUCAUCCAAUUUACCAUAAUUAUGUUAAUACCCUUGUCUCUGAAGCUAAGGUUAUUACAGUCUCCGUUGACCAUCGACGAGCUCCUGAGAAUCCUGUCCCUUGUGCUCAUGAAGAUUCAUGGGCUGCACUCAAAUGGGUUGCUUCCCAUGCUUAUGGACAAGGCCCUGAAGAUUGGCUUAACUAUUAUGCUGAUUUUGAGCGAGUUUUUAUUUAUGGGGACAGCGCUGGAGGUAAUAUAGCUCAUCACAUGGUGAUGAGACUCCCUCGAGAAAUUCUCGACGGUUUUAAUGUUGUUGGUAUUGUUUUAGCUCAUACUUAUUUUUGGGGAAAAGAACCUGUUGGUAAUGAGACAACUGAUGCCGAAACUAGAGCUUCCAUAGAGAAGAUGUGGUGAGCUGCUUGUCCUGGUACAAGUGGGUGCGAUGAUCCGCUAAUUAAUCCGUUCGUCGGUUCGAGUCUAGCGAACCUCGGGUGCAAAAGGGUGCAGGUUCAUGUUGUAGAGAAGGAUUUGAUGAGAGAUAGAGGAUGGUUUUAUUAUGAGAAGUUAAAGGAAAGUGGUUGAGGAGGUGAAGCGGAGAUCGUUGAGUCUAAAGGAGAGCCGCAUAUCUUCUAUUUGCUCAGUCCCACUUGUGACAGUGCUGUGGCUAUGAGGAAGAAGAUUGUCCUUCUUCAACGAGAUUUAGACAUGAAUUUCUUAUAUAGGUUGUUCAAAUAAGCUACCGCAAUUGAUCUGCUGGAAAUUACAGCACUUCCAAGGUUAUAACGUUUCUUUUUUUUUUUUUUUUUUUUCCCCUUUACCACGUGGAAGGAGAGGUAUUUUCCUAAAUUCACAUCUGUGAUAUAUAUUUCACACUUAGACUUUGAUUUGGUGUAUGUAUGAUAUGGUUGUAUUGUUGGUUAAAAAUUCUCAAAUUAAAUUGCUUCAAUCUCAAAUUUCAAGUCAAAAUUAUGAAAGAAUUGAUGUUAGCACUCAUGGUCUAUACGGAAUUAACAUAAAAAUCAAGUAUAAACUAAAACAAUAUUCAAACCUUUCUAAGAACUAUAUUCAUUGUAAAUCAAGUUCUUACCAUUGGCUUUUCAUAUUUAUAACAAAUAUUUUUUUUUGGAAAUUCUUAAUGGAUUUUUUUUUUAACUUAACAAUAAUUAAAACACAUACUAACUCCCACCCCCAAACUUAUUUUGAGCAUUGUCCUUAAUAUUUCAUAAUCUAAAGAUAUAAAUACAAAAAGGUGAAAGAGAUAAAGAAAUCAUGAAGAAUAAAACAAAAAGUUAGCGAGAUCACACUUGAGCUGGUUGCAAAAGCUUAAAAGAAGAUGACAAAGAACAAGAAAAUGUUAGAAAAUAAAAAUAUUAGGAAACAAAAAUAAACAAAAGUCCUUAGUAUCAUGCGAAAUAAACGAAAAUUUCUCAAAUAAUGACACUAACAAGUCCUCCAGGAUAAACAAGAAUUUGGUUAUAUACUUAGAGUGACUAUCAAGAAAACAAAAAACAAGACUAUUGAACCUCUUGAGCAUAUGAUCUAUGAAAGAAAAAUGCAAGUGACCUCGAUUUUACCAACCUUUUUCACAAUAGGGUUUGGAUUUGGUAUUAUCUCAAGCAUAUGGCUAAAACCAUUCUCAAAGUGAAUCAUAGGUGCAUAGAACGAGGGACUGCAGCUAUCCAACUUAUGGCUUCUUCAUGUUCAUUAAAAAUCAUUAAUUAAUUUACCAACAUGUUUAUUUUAUUUAGUUGCUAAAAUAACAAAGAAGUUUUCUGAAGAUACUUAAGACAGAGAAAUGGAUGACUCAAGUAAUGGUUUCAAGUCUAAUAACGGUCGUUUUUCUAUAGAUGGAGGAGGUAUAGACUUAGAGGGUGGAAGACAGUCUACUUUAGCUAUCCAUUUAUUAAGAUCCAUUAAUGAGGUAGACUCUGGUAUAGAAUUUACUUCACUAAUCAUAGUAUUCGCAUUUAUGUCGAUGCUAAAAUAAGUUGAAUAAUCUUUUACUAGUCAUCUUCAUUGAAAAGCAUAAAGGAAUUAUUGAUUGUACUCUCUAUUAGAUUGACAACUCCAUCAUCAUUAAAAUUCUCUAUAGUAUAAAGUUGUUUACUAACAAUAAACACAUUGAGUUCCAUAGUCAUAUUCCUAAAUGAAAUUCUUAUGACAUCAUUAUGACAAUUAUUAAGAAUUUGUUGUGGCUAAGAACGGUCAACCACUAAUAAGAAUUUGAGAACAUGGGUUCACUACAGGUUCAGUGUCAAGAACUAUGAAGUCGUCAUGAAAGUAGAAUUUAUCUACCUUGACAAGAACAUCCUCUAUAAUCCCUCUAAAAAUGUUGACAGAUUUAUCUAGGGAUGGCAAUGGGGAGGGGAGGGGAGGGGACCAAUCUCCCCGUACCCAUCCCCGAUAUUUUACGUAUGUCCCCGUCCCCUCCCCAUCCCCUCCCCGAAUAAUAACAGGGGAUCCCCGAGGGUCUCCGAUCCCCGAAUAACUAAUACAUUUUUUUGUUUUCAAUUUUGAGUUAAUCAUAUUAAAAUAAAAAAUUCAAAUAAAAGUAAAGUUUGAAAUAUAUCUUACAUUAAUAUCCAUUACAAAAGUCACAUACAUGAAAUUAGUAAGUAACGAUGCAUGCAAGGGAUACAAACUAUCAUGAACAAAUUAAUAGCCUAAUACAAAAUUGUUACAAAUAAAAUCAAUUUUAGAUUCAAAAUUAACUUUUCAAUGGUGGCGUUGGCACUUUAUAAAUGUGGACUAUUCCCUUUACAACACAAUAGUUAAGUCGAAGCAAAUCAAGAGUAAAUAUUAGAUUAGAUUAGAUAUUAAAAUUAUGAUUUGCUGUGGGCAAUUAUAACAUCUAAAAAUAAAUAAAAAAUAGAUUUAAGUUUAAAAGAUUUAAUGAAUAUUAAAAUUAAAACAAAAGUUUUGGGCUAAUAGAAUCUGUCCGGUCUUUUUAAUGUCCUAAAUAAAAAUUUAGGACUUUAAUUAGUUAAUUAGGCCUAAAAGUUUAAUAAUAUAAAUAUUUUGAUAUUUCUAUUUUUACCAAUACUUAUAAUUUUAUAAUUCAAAUUUUAUUAUUUAUUUACUAGUAAUUUUAAAAAAUAAAAAUUAAAUUAAAAAUUAAAAUGGGGAAAUGGGUAAGGGAUGGGGAUUCCACCUCAUCCCCGUCCCCUCCCCGAAUAAGAAAUUGGAUAAAAAAAUUUCCCCUCCCCUUCCCCGAAUAAGAAAUUGGGUAUGAAAUUAUCCUCAUACCCUCCCCGAAUAGGGAAAAUCCCCGAGGGUACCCAUCCCCGUGGGGAUUUUUGCCAUCCCUAGAUUUAUCUACUGAUUAGAGUGAUACAUGAGCGGGUUUCAAGUCUUUAAAUCCUAAUUUCUCAUAGAUAGAGUAUGGCAACAAGUUAACAAUGGCACUUAAAUCAAGUAAAGCUCUAUCAAAUGCAUGGUCUCUAAUAACACAAGAAAUUGAGAUAAACUAGGGUAUUUAUACUUAGUAGGAAUUUUGUUCAGGAGAAUGCUAUUAACCUUUUUAGUUAGGAAUGCCUUUUAUGGGACAUUGUUUUUCCUUUUUACUAUACAAAGAUCUUUUAAGAACUUAGCAUAAGCUGAUAAUCGUUGAAUAACAUCAAGCAAAGGGAUGUUUAUACGAACUUGCUUAAACAUUUCUAGAAUAUCAUUAUAAUGAGUAUCUUUCUCUUAUAGGACAAGUCUUUAUGGGUAAGGAGCUUUGAGAACAUAAGGCUUUGAUUGAAUUCCAUUCUCAUUAGGUUUACUAGGUAAUUGCUUUUCAAUUGAAGUUGGUUGACUUUCUUUCCAAUGCUCAAGAACUUUUAAAUAAUUAUCAAUUGUUUUUCCAAACCUAAGGGUAGUUAUAGAUUUGGCUUUCUUAUUAGGCAUAUUAGAAAUGGAUGAUGAUCUUAUUUCAAAUUGACUUUUAGGGUUAGGAAUUGGUUAACUAAGUAGUUUUUCUUUUUCCCUCUCAGCUACAGUAGUUGCUAAUGGACCCAAUUGAUUUUAAGCUUUAAAAUAACUUUAGUGUUUCAAUGUAAGGCUUAUUGGGUUGACUGAAUGAAAUUUUGAAGUGUAUCUCUAAAAAAUGUAUUCUUUGUGAAAUUCUAUUUAUGCAACUCAAGAGAGGAGAUGAAUUGGGUAACUAAAAAUUAUUCAAUUCUAAAACAAAACUCAAUGCAAAUCUAAAAUGAAUUUAAAGAAAUAACAGAUAAAUCAAUCACAAAAUAAAAAGAUAAGGGAAGAGAGAUUCAAACACGGAGAUUUUUACGUGGUUCGGCCAAACUCGCCUACGUCCACGCCUCCAAGCUUUCCAAGCUUGAGGAUUUCACUAAACAAGCCUCAAAGGCUUCAAAUGCUUACAAUUGACUUCCAAUGUGUAAAUGAACCUUUACAACAAGAGAUUGUCCUCAAUUUCUUAACCCAAGUGUAUCACAACACUUAUAAUCACUCAAAACAAAAAUUAUAAAUUUGUUCUGCACUCACAUAAUACUUAAGAUUACAAAUCAAUGCCCAAUGUGUGACUAAAUGAAGCAAAAAUGUGUUUAAAGUUUUAUGAAGGUUGUAUUCUCUAUUAUGAGUUCAAUGAUAGUGUUGUGAUCAACCUUUGUUUGAAUUUGAAUGAGUUUAUUUAUACUUGGAGCUGAAAAAUAGUUGUUACUGAUUGUCUGCUCGUAAACGGAUCGCUGUUAACCAUUAACGGUUAACCGUUUGGACUGGUCAAAGUUACCGUUGAGCCAAAUUUCAAAUAAACGGUUGACCGUUUAUCACUACCGUUUCACCGUUAAUUUUCAGAGACCUGCAAAACAAAUUUCUACUAUCCGUUCUUACUAAACGGUUAAAUAUUAGUAAGGAAAGACAUUCUAGAAUUUAUCGGUUAGCCGUUUGAAGUUAACGGUUCGCCAGUUAUUUCUAGUAACCUGCAAAACGAAAUAGCCUAAUCUGUUUCUGUUAAACAGUGAAAGAUUAGUACAAGCUUCCAUCCUGGAGUUUAUCGGUUAACUGUUUUCUAUAAAUGAUUCACCGUUUAAUUCUAGUAACCUUCCUAGCAUAUUUGUGUUUUCCAUUUUUGCUAUCCGGUUAGAGCUUAAGCAAUUGACCCUCUCUGGAUUUUAUCGAUUAACCGUUUACUUCCAGAAUCACAGUUUUAGCCAAAUAUUGCACGAAAUCAUUUUCCAUGUUGAAAUUUAAUAACUAUCCAUCUUUCAUGAAUGUAAUUGGAAUGAUUAUAUGGCUUUUGUUUAUUAAUGAAUAGCUCUAACAUUUUAAUAAAAAACAUUUAAAGUUUGUUAUCAUCAAAAUUAAUAUUAUGAAUAUAUACAUGUUAACACUUUGUUAGAGUGCAGUAAAUUGUUGAACAAGAGGAUAUGCUAGGUUAUAAGGGACAAAUUCUUUAUCGGGCAUGCUAAAUUGUUGUCCUCCUCUGUUUGAUAUAGUUUGAUUUUGUUUUUAGAAAAAAAUUAGGGUGAUUCCCUAAUUAGAAUUAUAUGUGGGUAAAUAUGGACUAUUAGAGGAUUUGUCAUAUAAUUGUAAUGCAUGUACUAGCUCAGAAUAAGCCUUUUGAUAGGCUGGUAAUGAAGGACAAUUCUAUGUCAUAUGAGAUAAGUUGGAACAAAUAGCACAAAUUUCAUUAGCUACACUAGGAUGAUGAUUCAUUGAUUGGUUUAUAGUUAAGACUUCGACUUUCUUGGAAAGAUUAGCUAGAGUGGCUUUCACAUCAAACUCAUUAUUAACUUCAUGUAGACCAUUGUCAUGACCCAACCUAGGCCUGGUAAGAUAUUGUCCGCUUUGGGCCUUAAUAAGGCCCGCACGGUUUUGUUCUUGGGGCGCCCAUACACCCCAAAAUGUGUCUUGCCAAUUAAGGUGUGAAUCGCCCCUUAUAAACUCAGCAUCUCUCUCGUGCUUUGUCGAUGUGAGAUUCGCCUAGAAUGUUACAACCAUUAAGUUUUGGACUGAUUUUUCUCUUUAAUUUAAAAUAUCUCAUUGUUAAGAAUUCUUAAAAAGUGAACUGAAGAAAUCCUAAGCAGCCAUUUCAUAUAGGUUCAAAAUCUUGCCACCAUUCAUAAACUCUACCAUACAACAAUUUGAUAUCCAUUAUAAAAGUACUCUACUAGUUUACAUUUCUUAAAACCAUUGUAGGGACACUUAAGGAGUGGUUAUUAAAUCUUUCCCAACACUUAUAAAAUUGUUCACUUUCUCUUUGAUAAAAAUCACUUAUCUCUCUCUCAAGGGCAUUUGUUUUAGAUAUAGGGAAAACCUUAGCGAGAAAUUUAUUGCUCAAUCAUCCCAUGUAGUAAUAGAGCCAGUGGAAAGUGAAUUCAACCAAUUUUUUGCUUUGUCUUUUAAUAAAAAAGGGAACAUAUGAAUCUUAAUUGAAUCAUCGUUAAAAUUUUGGAAUGAAAUGUAGAGCAUAGUACUCAAAUCGUCCAAUUUUAAUUGUUCUCUUUCUCUUUUAAACCCUUCAAUACUUAAAAUAAAAACUCAAAAUCUUCAUUUACAAUUCUCUUUUCUAGUACAAUCUUCUGACGGGCAACUAAUUUUUACAACUCUCUGCAUUCAUCGUUGAUUGUUGUUUCAUUAUCCUUGAGAAUUUUAAUUUAUUAAGUAUUUAGUAUCAUUCUUUUUAGAUUAAUAUAAUUAAUUGCAAAUAUUUUUUAUGUGUACCGCAGUGCUAGAGUAUGAAAAGGAAAUUUGAAUUUCACUAUAUAUUUUUUUAAAAAAGGAAAUUAAUAGCCUUAACAUAUGCAUUACAUCAAGAUAAAUAUAGAAGCUAAAUAUACUAACAAAAGCAAAACAUACAUUUAAUUCCUCUCAUAAACACCGUACUAAUUAAUUAAAGUUGUGUGAUAAACGAAACAAACUUAUUGAUCAACUCUACAGCUUUUUCACAUUUAAGGUUGUCGAAAUAGAAGCUAUGCCCUUCGCCGUGAGUCUCAACAAGCUCCACCGUUCCUUUCCACCCACUUUUCUUCAAGUCUUCGUAGUAAUUCAUAGCUACAGGUUUCAAAAAAUCUUUCUCAGCCACAAAUAUCAAAACCCUCUCACACCCAAGCCUGGCCAGAUCCUCUGCGGGUGGUUUCAGCCGAGGAUCCUGCAACCCUCCGUUUGUUGGACACAUGUACAACCACAGCUCAUCUUCUUCAGGACUAGUGCCACCGAAAAAUGGAUGCACCAUG